RNAcentral lists this ribosomal RNA (643 nucleotides) under uncultured Actinomycetes bacterium. RNAcentral describes it as "bacterial SSU rRNA". It matches the Rfam family "Bacterial small subunit ribosomal RNA", at positions 90 to 727 of the family's 1533-position model. The record is from RNAcentral. Lineage: Bacteria; Bacillati; Actinomycetota; Actinomycetes.
GAUUAGUGGCGAACGGGUGAGUAACACGUGAGUAACCUGCCCCUUACUUUCCUGGAUAACUGCUCGAAAGGGUAGCUAAUACGGGAUAUUCUGACUAGCCUGCAUGGGUUGGUUUGGAAAGGUUGUUUUUCUGGUAAGGGAUGGGCUCGCGGCCUAUCAGCUUGUUGGUGGGGUGAUGGCCUACCAAGGCUUUGACGGGUAGCCGGCCUGAGAGGGUGGACGGUCACACUGGGACUGAGAUACGGCCCAGACUCCUACGGGAGGCAGCAGUGGGGAAUAUUGCACAAUGGGCGCAAGCCUGAUGCAGCGACGCCGCGUGAGGGAUGAAGGCCUUCGGGUUGUAAACCUCUUUCGUCAGGGAACAAGGCACUGCUUUUGGUGGUGUUGAGGGUACCUGGAUAAGAAGCGCCGGCUAACUACGUGCCAGCAGCCGCGGUAAUACGUAGGGCGCAAGCGUUGUCCGGAAUUAUUGGGCGUAAAGAGCUCGUAGGCGGCUGGUCGCGUCUGUCGUGAAAACUUCCGGCUCAACCGGGGGCUUGCGGUGGGUACGGGCCGGCUAGAGUGCGGUAGGGGUAACUGGAACUCCUGGUGUAGCGGUGGAAUGCGCAGAUAUCAGGAAGAACACCGAUGGCGAAGGCAGGUU